RNAcentral lists this small RNA (121 nucleotides) under Arabidopsis thaliana (thale cress). Its description in RNAcentral is "ATSL055530". Lineage: Eukaryota; Viridiplantae; Streptophyta; Magnoliopsida; Brassicales; Brassicaceae. The record is from RNAcentral.
GUCAUCAUAUUUUUAAAUAUCUACAUAUACAUUUUUGCAGCCAUUUUAACAAAUAAAUCAUAGAGUUGGACUUAUUUACAACCCAAUGCCAUUAAUAUUAAAUCUUUUUCCAAAAUAAUUA